Homarus americanus (American lobster) is the source of this 262-nucleotide long non-coding RNA. RefSeq lists it as uncharacterized. The record is from RefSeq and is a predicted model, not a curated record. The transcript is spliced from 3 exons. Lineage: Eukaryota; Metazoa; Arthropoda; Malacostraca; Decapoda; Nephropidae.
GGGUGAGCAGCAGCAGCAGGUGGGGCUAAACAUUUGUCUGAGCCUGGUGAGACGGGAAGAAACUACAGCGAUAUGUAUCCAGGGAAGCCCGUGGAAGACAGACGAACAGAGCCGUAGAAAACACACUCCUUUGGACCGCACUGUGAAGAUACACCCAACAGCCAUAUACUGUAAACGAAUAGUACAGUACUACACUCACAGUCAACGUGUGUCUUGCGUAACUUCUCAACAUCUUCACCGUGACAGAGGGAGUACAGUGAUC